This 451-nucleotide ribosomal RNA is filed under the name uncultured bacterium. Its description in RNAcentral is "partial 16S ribosomal RNA". It matches the Rfam family "Bacterial small subunit ribosomal RNA", at positions 354 to 796 of the family's 1533-position model. The record is from RNAcentral.
GUGGGGAAUAUUGGACAAUGGGGGGAACCCUGAUCCAGCCAUGCCGCGUGUGUGAAGAAGGCCUUUUGGUUGUAAAGCACUUUAAGCGAGGAGGAGGCUACCGAGAUUAAUACUCUUGGAUAGUGGACGUUACUCGCAGAAUAAGCACCGGCUAACUCUGUGCCAGCAGCCGCGGUAAUACAGAGGGUGCAAGCGUUAAUCGGAUUUACUGGGCGUAAAGCGCGCGUAGGUGGCCAAUUAAGUCAAAUGUGAAAUCCCCGAGCUUAACUUGGGACUUGCAUUCGAUACUGGUUGGCUAGAGUAUGGGAGAGGAUGGUAGAAUUCCAGGUGUAGCGGUGAAAUGCGUAGAGAUCUGGAGGAAUACCGAUGGCGAAGGCAGCCAUCUGGCCUAAUACUGACACUGAGGUGCGAAAGCAUGGGGAGCAAACAGGAUUAGAUACCCCUGUAGUCC